Eurytemora carolleeae is the source of this 320-nucleotide long non-coding RNA. RefSeq lists it as uncharacterized. Lineage: Eukaryota; Metazoa; Arthropoda; Copepoda; Calanoida; Temoridae. The record is from RefSeq and is a predicted model, not a curated record. The transcript has 3 exons.
UUUAUUGAUCAGUAGAUCAGAAAACAGAAUGAAGACUUGUCAGUUGUUAGUUCUACUGUUCCUAUGUUUUGCUGCUCUUGCUUCAGGGAAAAAGUAUCUAAUACAAACACAACAGGGUCAUAGACCUCCUGUGAAUGGAAGUGUGAAUGGAACAGAUUACACCUGGGGUUGGGGAGGAUGCUGGGGCUGUAGAGGAUGGGGAUGGGGGGGAUGGGGUGGAGGAUGGGGUGGAUGGGGAUGGGGGAAAUAGGGAGAGAAUUGGGAUGGGUACCCAUUCAUUGUAAUUUGAAAAAAGUAUCAAAAAUAUAUCUUCACAACGA